UACGUAGGCAGCAAGCGUUGUUCGGAGUUACUGGGCGUAAAGAGUGCGUAGGCGGUCCUGUAAGUUUGGUGUGAAAUCUCCCGGCUCAACUGGGAGGGUGCGCCGAAGACUGCAGGGCUUGAGUAUGGGAGAGGUAAGCGGAAUUCCUGGUGUAGCGGCGAAAUGCGUAGAUAUCAGGAGGAACACCUGUGGUGUAGACAGCUUUCUGGACCACUUCUGACGCUGAGACACGAAAGCGUGGGUAGCAAACAGG
RNAcentral lists this ribosomal RNA (253 nucleotides) under uncultured prokaryote. RNAcentral's name for it is "partial 16S ribosomal RNA". It matches the Rfam family "Bacterial small subunit ribosomal RNA", at positions 524 to 776 of the family's 1533-position model. The record is from RNAcentral.